AAAAGAGAAAAGAAAGAGGAAGAAUUAGAAGAAAAUUCCCGUGUUGCAUCCACGUCUUUUUUUUAAUCCUUCCUUUCUUU
This 80-nucleotide non-coding RNA is filed under the name Chromera velia. The record is from RNAcentral. Lineage: Eukaryota; Chromeraceae.